CGGGGUGUAGCACAGCUUGGUAGUGCGCCUGUUUUGGGAACAGGAGGUCGUCAGUUCGAAUCUGGCCACCCCGA
This 74-nucleotide transfer RNA is filed under the name Verrucomicrobiales bacterium. Its description in RNAcentral is "tRNA-Pro". It matches the Rfam family "tRNA". From Rfam's summary of the family: Transfer RNA (tRNA) molecules are approximately 80 nucleotides in length. Their secondary structure includes four short double-helical elements and three loops (D, anti-codon, and T loops). Lineage: Bacteria; Pseudomonadati; Verrucomicrobiota; Verrucomicrobiia; Verrucomicrobiales. The record is from RNAcentral.